This is a non-coding RNA of Pimephales promelas (fathead minnow), 1109 nucleotides long. Lineage: Eukaryota; Metazoa; Chordata; Actinopteri; Cypriniformes; Leuciscidae. The record is from RefSeq and is a predicted model, not a curated record.
CAUCUCCCCUUUCGCGGGUUGUUCUUCUUUUUUCCCCUCAUUAUUCACUCACGGGUACUGCUUGUGACGGCAGGUCUCAACGUCUCAACAGAGACACCUGUAUCCGAAGACCUCAGAGAAGUUAUCUUCUUCUCCAAUGAUCAAUGUGAUAUACUCCUCAGGAGAGUUCAUAUCUGAACACAUCUUAAAAACAGAAGAGAGGAAGACACAAUCAGUGCCUCGACAAGGCUGGGUAGAGGCGAAAGAGAUGGGAACAUUUAUAAUCCUGCUUUCAGCACUCGUCACUGACACAAGAAACCUCUCGAUGCUUCAGUCCAUUUCCACACGGUGACGAACACUACAUAGAGCGACACUGCUUCACUGAGCGAAUGAAGCACGAAAGGAGCUGAAGGCAAAGGAGAGCGAGGCUUCCCUGGAUCCUGGAUGGGAGAGGAACGGAUAAUCAAAGGGCCUCGUUGAGAGAGAAUGAAUAUGAUGCGACAAGUCUGAAGUUGAACGAGUCCAUUCCCAGCAUGCAUGCAUGAAAUACAGGAACUAAAAGAAUAGAAACUCCCCAAUUGGAUGUGUUCCUGAGGAUACUUUUUCAUUAGAGUCUAGCAAAGUCAAUGUGUCACAGUUGCAUUUUAAGUUGAUGGAAUUUAUUUAGAAACCAGAACAAAGCAAUCAGUUUAACAUUCAAAUAUAUAUUUGCUUUUCUAAAUAUUUACAGUAUCAAAAUAUAUACAAUUGGUUCAACUGAAUACAUAUUAUACAAAAUUCAAUACCAAUAACAUGGACAGCUGAAGCAAAAUAAAGAAAUAAAAAACACCUCGCAUAAAAUAAUAUAAAAAUGCACAUUUAUCUUUAAAGCAAGAACGCUAUGUACCACUUUAAUAAUUCAUCCAAAACCUUAGAUAUUGAUAUUAAUUCAUAAUAAAUCAUACACUUGCUCACUCUGCCUCAGAAUUUUACAGUGUCUGUGUGUUUAUGUGUGAGAAUAUGUAACCGUGAAAAGGGUUUCAUUUUCUUUUAGAAAUUCUAAAUGCUACAAGUGCAAUCAAAGAUGAAUACUUAGUUUUGUGUAGGUGCAUGAAAAACUGUCAGGCCUCAAUAAACUGACUUGUAAUCAA